AGCGUUGUCCGGAAUUACUGGGCGUAAAGGGCGUGUANGCGGCCUUUUAAGUCNCACGUGAAAUAUUUGGGCUUAACCCAAAGGCUGCGUUUGAAACUGGAGGGCUUGAGGACCGGAGAGGGUAGUGGAAUUCCCANUGUAGCGGUGAAAUGCGUAGAUAUUGGGAGGAACACCAGUGGCGAGGGCGACUGCCUGNACGGCACCUGACGCUGAGGCGCGAAAGCUAUGGGAGCAAACGGGAUUAGAUACCCCGGUAGUCCUACCCGUAAACGAUGGGUACUACGUGUGGGAGGUAUCGACCCCUUCCGUGCCGCAGUUAACACNAUAAGUUCCCCGCCUGGGGAGUACNGCCGCNNGGUUGAAGCUCAUAGGAAUUGACGGGGGCCCGCACAAACCGGUGGAGCAUGUGGUUUAAUUCGAAACAACGCGAAGAACCUUACCAGNUCUNGACUUCCCUUUGAANAGUAUAGANAUAUACUCCUUCUUCGGAGCAAAGGAGACAGGUNGUGCAUGGCUGUCGUCAGCUCGUGUCGUGAGAUGUUGGGUUAAGUCCCGCAACGAGCGCAACCCUUAUUCUUAGUUGCCAGCGAUUCGGUCGGGCACUCUAAGGAGACUGCCGGUGAUAAACCGGAGGAAGGUGGGGAUGACGUCAAGUCAUCAUGCCCCUUAUGACCUGGGCUACACACGUGCUACAAUGGCCGGUACAGCGCGCAGCGAACCUGCGAGGGUAAGCAAAUCGCUUAAAACCGGUCUCAGUUCAGAUCGGAGGCUGCAACCCGCCUCCGUGAAGUCGGAAUCGCUAGUAAUCUCGGGUCAGCAUACCGAGGUGAAUACGUUCCCGGGCCUUGUACACACCGCCCGUCACACCACGAAAGUCUACAACACCCGAAACCGGUGGGCUAACCGUAAGGAGGCAGCCGUCUAAGGUGGUGUCGAUGAUUGGGGUG
This 947-nucleotide ribosomal RNA is filed under the name uncultured bacterium. RNAcentral describes it as "bacterial SSU rRNA". It matches the Rfam family "Bacterial small subunit ribosomal RNA", at positions 537 to 1482 of the family's 1533-position model. The record is from RNAcentral.